RNAcentral lists this microRNA precursor (84 nucleotides) under Procavia capensis (Cape rock hyrax). Its description in RNAcentral is "microRNA 147b (ENSPCAG00000019049.1)". It matches the Rfam family "mir-147 microRNA precursor family". The record is from RNAcentral. Lineage: Eukaryota; Metazoa; Chordata; Mammalia; Hyracoidea; Procaviidae.
ACUCUAUGAAUCUAGUGGAAACACUUCUGCACAAACUAGAUUAUGGAUACAGUGUGCGGAAGUGCUUCUGCUACAUUUUUAGGG